UGGUGGAGUGAUUUGUCUGGUUAAUUCCGUUAACGAACGAGACCUUAACCUGCUAAAUAGUUAUCUGAAACUUACGUUUCCGACUAACUUCUUAGAGGGACUUUGCGUGUUUAACGCAAGGAAGUUUGAGGCAAUAACA
This 139-nucleotide ribosomal RNA is filed under the name uncultured eukaryote. Its description in RNAcentral is "partial 18S ribosomal RNA". It matches the Rfam family "Eukaryotic small subunit ribosomal RNA", at positions 1299 to 1458 of the family's 1831-position model. The record is from RNAcentral.